Molecule: long non-coding RNA, 205 nt
Filed under: Mytilus galloprovincialis (Mediterranean mussel)
Lineage: Eukaryota; Metazoa; Mollusca; Bivalvia; Mytilida; Mytilidae
Source: RNAcentral
AAUUGGUUUUGACAAUUUCUCUAAAACCAAUGACCGUUAGAUUCUAAAUUAACACAAUGAAUAGAUCAUACGUAAAAAAAAUCAUUUAGAUUCUGAGCACAGUAUAAUAAUAUUGAUGAUUAUUUAGUGACAGGAAUGGUAUCUCAUUCUCGAUACAAUAUUGCUUUCGUGGGCUUUGUCCCCUCACUUGGACCGACUACCGGCA